RNAcentral lists this ribosomal RNA (554 nucleotides) under uncultured bacterium. Its description in RNAcentral is "partial 16S ribosomal RNA". It matches the Rfam family "Bacterial small subunit ribosomal RNA", at positions 355 to 900 of the family's 1533-position model. The record is from RNAcentral.
UAGGGAAUCUUCCACAAUGGACGCAAGUCUGAUGGAGCAACGCCGCGUGAGUGAAGAAGGUUUUCGGAUCGUAAAGCUCUGUUGUUGGUGAAGAAGGAUAGAGGCAGUAACUGGUCUUUAUUUGACGGUAAUCAACCAGAAAGUCACGGCUAACUACGUGCCAGCAGCCGCGGUAAUACGUAGGUGGCAAGCGUUGUCCGGAUUUAUUGGGCGUAAAGCGAGCGCAGGCGGAAUGAUAAGUCUGAUGUGAAAGCCCACGGCUCAACCGUGGAACUGCAUCGGAAACUGUCAUUCUUGAGUGCAGAAGAGGAGAGUGGAACUCCAUGUGUAGCGGUGGAAUGCGUAGAUAUAUGGAAGAACACCAGUGGCGAAGGCGGCUCUCUGGUCUGCAACUGACGCUGAGGCUCGAAAGCAUGGGUAGCGAACAGGAUUAGAUACCCUGGUAGUCCAUGCCGUAAACGAUGAGCGCUAGGUGUUGGGGACUUUCCGGUCCCCGGUGCCGCAGCAAACGCAUUAAGCGCUCCGCCUGGGGAGUACGACCGCAAGGUUGAAAC